CAGGACUUGACAUCCAGCGAACUUUCCAGAGAUGGAUUGGUGCCUUCGGGAACGCUGUGACAGGUGCUGCAUGGCUGCCGUCAGCUCGUGUCGUGAGAUGUUGGGUUAAGUCCCGUAACGAGCGCAACCCUUGUCCUUAGUUACCAGCACCUCGGGUGGGCACUCUAAGGAGACUGCCGGCGACAAACCGGAGGAAGGUGGGGAUGACGUCAAGUCAUCAUGGCCCUUACGGCCAGGGCUACACACGUGCUACAAUGGUCGGUACAGAGGGUUGCCAAGCCGCGAGGUGGAGCUAAUCUCACAAAACCGAUCGUAGUCCGGAUUGGAGUCUGCAACUCGACUCCAUGAAGUCGGAAUCGCUAGUAAUCGUGAAUCAGAAUGUCACGGUGAAUA
This 393-nucleotide ribosomal RNA is filed under the name uncultured bacterium. Its description in RNAcentral is "bacterial SSU rRNA". It matches the Rfam family "Bacterial small subunit ribosomal RNA", at positions 975 to 1368 of the family's 1533-position model. The record is from RNAcentral.